This 375-nucleotide ribosomal RNA is filed under the name uncultured organism. RNAcentral describes it as "partial 16S ribosomal RNA". It matches the Rfam family "Bacterial small subunit ribosomal RNA", at positions 523 to 896 of the family's 1533-position model. The record is from RNAcentral.
CGGGGGGGGGGGCAAGCGUUGUUCGGAAUUACUGGGCGUAAAGGGCGCGCAGGCGGCCUGGCAAGUCCUACGUGAAAUCCCACAGCUUAACUGUGGAACUGCGUGGGAUACUGCCAGGCUUGAGUCCGGGAGAGGAGAGUGGAAUUCCCAGUGUAGCGGUGAAAUGCGUAGAUAUUGGGAGGAACACCGGUGGCGAAGGCGGCUCUCUGGACCGGUACUGACGCUGAGGCGCGAAAGCUAGGGGAGCAAACGGGAUUAGAUACCCCGGUAGUCCUAGCCGUAAACUUUGAGCACUUUGUGUGGCGGGUAUCGACCCCUGCCGUGCAGAAGCUAACGCAUUAAGUGCUCCGCCUGGGGAGUACGGUCGCAAGGCUG